UACGUAGGUGGCGAGCGUUGUCCGGAAUUACUGGGUGUAAAGCGCGUGUAGGCGGGAGGCCAAGUCUGUGGUGAAAUCGCUCGGCUUAACUGGGCGGGGUCCAUGGAAACUGGUCACCUGGAGGUCGGUAGAGGCAAGUGGAAUUCCCGGUGUAGUGGUGAAAUGCGUAGAGAUCGGGAGGAACACCAGUGGCGAAGGCGGCUUGCUGGGCCGGACCUGACGCUGAGACGGCGAAGGCGUGGGGAGCGAACGGG
This 254-nucleotide ribosomal RNA is filed under the name uncultured bacterium. Its description in RNAcentral is "partial 16S ribosomal RNA". It matches the Rfam family "Bacterial small subunit ribosomal RNA", at positions 524 to 776 of the family's 1533-position model. The record is from RNAcentral.